GACCUCAUAACUCAGUCGGUAGAGUACACGCCUUUUAAGCGUCGAUGCGUUGGUUCAAAUCCAACUGAGGUCA
This 73-nucleotide transfer RNA is filed under the name Candidatus Melainabacteria bacterium. RNAcentral describes it as "tRNA-Lys". It matches the Rfam family "tRNA". Rfam says of the family: Transfer RNA (tRNA) molecules are approximately 80 nucleotides in length. RNAcentral also lists the same sequence under 2 other names. Lineage: Bacteria; Bacillati; Candidatus Melainabacteria. The record is from RNAcentral.